UAUUGCUACAGUCCCGAUCCAGAUGGCAUAGCGAUACGGCAACGGUACGUACACACACACACACACACACACACACAUACACACACGCGCGCACACAUCGUGUGUGUCGAAGGCAGUAAGCGCUAAAAAAGGAGAAAAGAAUGCAACGGGCAACUCGUUACGCUACACUCGGCGGCCCACAUUAACGUAAUUCGCUCGCUCGCGCAUUCCACGCGUGCUUGACGCAAGAAGAAUGCUUUAUCGCGCGUUACAUUCUCGGACAUGUCAUCAGAGUAAAAAUAUGUAAGGAAUUAAUUCUUAUUCGUUCGUGAAAAAUUGCGAAACAUAAACAGAGAAAUAGGACAACGAAGCACAAAACAAUGCGUGACAUACAUACGCCAUAUACGGGAUGCGCAAUAAAUUUCCCUUAUCGUCUUAGUAGUCUCGGUGCCAGGAGAGUGCGACGAUAUGGAUGAAGCUGGACGAUUGCCAGAAUCACAUUCUGUAAUCCAAUUUUCAUCCGUUUACGGGAGUUUUACCGCACGAAAUGAAGAUUUCCAAUGUCGCGCCAUAAUUACAUUCUACUACUUUACCGACUGACUUUUAACGAUGUUCCACGUGGUGCUACCUGUAAGAUGAUACAGGAAAUAGAUCUGUGACGUAAUUGCCGAACGUUCAUUCUCGCAAAAUGGAAAUAAUUCCUCAAGAAGAGACAACAUCAAAUCUACUCGGUGAGCAGAUAAAAUUUCUCGGGGGAGACAAUGGGAAAAGUUUCCUAUACUUCGUACGCAAUAGCACGCAUGUGAAUAGCGAAUCGGAGGAAAAGGGGCGACAGACUCAUCUACGAAGAAUCGAGAUUGUCGUAACUAUCUUCUUUCAUAUUUAUUGCUGUUCUUGUGUAGAGGACCAGUGUCUCUCCGUUUACUCAAGCAUCAAAGUAAAUGAAGCAUUAAACAACUCUACGGGGAGAUGUGAUAUCGUCCAUAAGAUGUGAUAUUAUCCAUAAAUCUGGUCAUAUCUUCCUCAAGAAGUACCAAUUUCUUAUCGGAGGGGAAAAAAUUACAGAAGUUUUUAUCAAUUUUGAAAGUAUUAAAACUUAUCUGCCGCAGUUGCGCUCAGUCUCUACGUAAGACGAAAAUGGCAUUACUCUUCAUGUAAAUAACUGCAUUCGCCAAUGACGUUCACUCGUGCAGCACUGACUCGGCUCGAAUUUAGAUGUUUCUACCUCAUAUAGUUUAUAGCUGUCCUCCCCGCGGAGAAGAAAGGGAACGGGCGUGGAUACAUCGUAAACCCCUCUAAAAAGAGGACAAUAGAACGAGCCCUUACGCGAGUGCAGAGCCGAGGAUGAUUUGACAAACUCUCGGUCAGAGUACGCGAGGAUUGUUCAACAAAAGAAGACGAAUGACACAAACGACGGAUGUUCGAGGGUGCACAAAGGCCCAUUUCUCGAUCCCGACGACGCUCCUGUCGACGCUUCCGGCAUCCGGUUCCGGUAGCGAUUUUUAUGCGAGCGCUUGCGAAGGGGAAGAACAGAGACGAGCGAUGAUUCCACAGAAUCUGAAAAGUCAGUCGGGCGUAAACGGCGAAGCACGCACAAAGAGGGUUGGCCCCGAUGCUACCAGAAAGGGAAGAAAAACAGUUAUUGUGCGUGGAAGAAGGGCUGGAAAGAGGAACCGUCGAAACGAUACGUCGUCGCAUCCGCCCGCCCGAGCAAACCAAGAAUCAGAGUCAUUUGUCAACGAAAACGCACG
Molecule: long non-coding RNA, 1730 nt
Organism: Cataglyphis hispanica
Lineage: Eukaryota; Metazoa; Arthropoda; Insecta; Hymenoptera; Formicidae
Exons: 5
Source: RefSeq, a predicted model, not a curated record